UACGUAGGUGGCAAGCGUUGUCCGGAUUUACUGGGCGUAAAGAGCGCGCAGGCGGUCGUUCAAGUCGCGUGUGAAAGCCCCCGGCUCAACUGGGGAGGGUCACGCGAUACCGAUCGACUCGAAGGCAGGAGAGGGUAGUGGAAUUCCCGGUGUAGUGGUGAAAUGCGUAGAUAUCGGGAGGAACACCAGUGGCGAAGGCGACUACCUGGCCUGUUCUUGACGCUGAGGCGCGAAAGCUAGGGGAGCAAACAGG
RNAcentral lists this ribosomal RNA (253 nucleotides) under uncultured bacterium. RNAcentral's name for it is "partial 16S ribosomal RNA". It matches the Rfam family "Bacterial small subunit ribosomal RNA", at positions 524 to 776 of the family's 1533-position model. The record is from RNAcentral.